GGGCCAGCUUUAGCUCAGCGGUUACUUCGACAGUGGCUCAGUUCAUUACCAGCUACCCGUAGCAGGUUCGAACAACACAACCAACCACUUACCUAACUCGUGAGUGUUUGGUUCGAGACCCGCGGGCGCUCCCUGGCCCUUUU
Molecule: vault RNA, 143 nt
Filed under: Mus caroli (Ryukyu mouse)
Lineage: Eukaryota; Metazoa; Chordata; Mammalia; Rodentia; Muridae
Description: sRNA (MGP_CAROLIEiJ_G0008626.1)
Rfam family: Vault RNA
About the family: This family of RNAs are found as part of the enigmatic vault ribonucleoprotein complex. The complex consists of a major vault protein (MVP), two minor vault proteins (VPARP and TEP1), and several small untranslated RNA molecules. It has been suggested that the vault complex is involved in drug resistance.
Source: RNAcentral